GACGUAGGGCGCGAGCGUUGUCCGGAUUUAUUGGGCGUAAAGCGCUCGUAGGCGGCUUGUCGCGUCGUCCGUGAAAACCCACAGCUCAACUGUGGGCUUGCGGUCGAUACGGGCAGGCUAGAGUUCGGUAGGGGAGACUGGAAUUCCUGGUGUAGCGGUGAAAUGCGCAGAUAUCAGGAGGAACACCGGUGGCGAAGGCGGGUCUCUGGGCCGAUACUGACGCUGAGGAGCGAAAGCGUGGGGAGCGAACAGG
Molecule: ribosomal RNA, 253 nt
Filed under: uncultured bacterium
Lineage: Bacteria
Description: partial 16S ribosomal RNA
Rfam family: Bacterial small subunit ribosomal RNA
Source: RNAcentral